AGGGAAUUUUCCACAAUGGACGAAAGUCUGAUGGAGCAACGCCGCGUGAACGAUGAAGGUCUUCGGAUUGUAAAGUUCUGUUGUCAGGGAUGAACAAGUACCGUUUGAACAAGGCGGUACCUUGACGGUACCUGACGAGAAAGCCACGGCUAACUACGUGCCAGCAGCCGCGGUAAUACGUAGGUGGCAAGCGUUGUCCGGAAUUAUUGGGCGUAAAGCGCGCGCAGGCGGCUAUGUAAGUCUGGUGUUAAAGCCCGGGGCUCAACCCCGGUACGCAUCGGAAACUGUGUAGCUUGAGUGCAGAAGAGGAAAGCGGUAUUCCACGUGUAGCGGUGAAAUGCGUAGAGAUGUGGAGGAACACCAGUGGCGAAGGCGGCUUUCUGGUCUGUAACUGACGCUGAGGCGCGAAAGCGUGGGGAGCAAAC
RNAcentral lists this ribosomal RNA (425 nucleotides) under uncultured bacterium. RNAcentral's name for it is "bacterial SSU rRNA". It matches the Rfam family "Bacterial small subunit ribosomal RNA", at positions 356 to 773 of the family's 1533-position model. The record is from RNAcentral.